AUUAUUAUUAUUAUUAUUAUAUAUAAAAUAAUGUGAUGAUUUGGUUGCCUGGCCUAUAUAAUGGUGGAUCGUUUUACAAAAAAUUCAUGUCAAGAGUCAUUAUAGAGAUUAAUUGAAAUCAUGAGACAAAAUAAGAAAGGGUUUAUUUCUCUCAUAAUGUUUCUUGUUGUGCUUGUUGAAUUAGUGGAUUCUCUUAACCGUUCUAAUUUUCCAGAUCAUUUCUUAUUUGGGACAGCCUCCUCUUCGUACCAGUAUGAAGGUGCAGCAAAUGAAGGGGGCAGAGGACCAAGUAUAUGGGAUACCUUUACUCAAAGAUAUCCAG
Non-coding RNA from Arachis ipaensis, 322 nucleotides. The record is from RefSeq and is a predicted model, not a curated record. Lineage: Eukaryota; Viridiplantae; Streptophyta; Magnoliopsida; Fabales; Fabaceae.